AGUGAACGCUGGCGGUAGGCCUAACACAUGCAAGUCGAACGGCAGCACAGUAAGAGCUUGCUCUUACGGGUGGCGAGUGGCGGACGGGUGAGGAAUACAUCGGAAUCUACUUUUUCGUGGGGGAUAAUGUAGGGAAACUUACGCUAAUACCGCAUACGACCUACGGGUGAAAGCAGGGGAUCUUCGGACCUUGCGCGAUUGAAUGAGCCGAUGUCGGAUUAGCUAGUUGGCGGGGUAAAGGCCCACCAAGGCGACGAUCCGUAGCUGGUCUGAGAGGAUGAUCAGCCACACUGGAACUGAGACACGGUCCAGACUCCUACGGGAGGCAGCAGUGGGGAAUAUUGGACAAAGGGCGCAAGCCUGAUCCGGCCAUACCGCGUGGGUGAAGAAGGCCUUCGGGUUGUAAAGCCCUUUUGUUGGGAAAGAAAAGCAGCAGGUUAAUACCCCGCUGUUCUGACGGUACCCAAAGAAUAAGCACCGGCUAACUUCGUG
RNAcentral lists this ribosomal RNA (492 nucleotides) under uncultured bacterium. RNAcentral's name for it is "partial 16S ribosomal RNA". It matches the Rfam family "Bacterial small subunit ribosomal RNA", at positions 29 to 507 of the family's 1533-position model. The record is from RNAcentral.